AUGUUUUGGACAUUUUCGAAGCUGCUGCUGUCGUUGAUUGCAGGAGAACAACACGACGACACACCGCACACAGCACAGGCUAGCGGCGAGUACGGUGGUACGGCCACCGCGUGCACAUCCAUCUACAAGCUCGAGCUCCCCUCGCCGGCCCGUUGUCACGAUGAUGCCGACGCCGCCGUCGCCGCCAUCGAGCCGCGGGAGGCCAUGAACGUGGAUUCGAAGGCGUCCUACCUCAUCCAGAUCAAGAACCCCGAGCAGCCGCCAUCCUCCGAUGGUCGUGGC
Molecule: long non-coding RNA, 282 nt
Filed under: Oryza sativa tropical japonica subgroup
Lineage: Eukaryota; Viridiplantae; Streptophyta; Magnoliopsida; Poales; Poaceae
Description: lncRNA OsAzu_10g0013870
Source: RNAcentral